RNAcentral lists this ribosomal RNA (491 nucleotides) under uncultured bacterium. Its description in RNAcentral is "partial 16S ribosomal RNA". It matches the Rfam family "Bacterial small subunit ribosomal RNA", at positions 29 to 506 of the family's 1533-position model. The record is from RNAcentral.
AGUGAACGCUGGCGGUAGACCUAACACAUGCAAGUCGAACGGCAGCACAGUAAGAGCUUGCUCUUACGGGUGGCGAGUGGCGGACGGGUGAGGAAUACAUCGGAAUCUACUUUUUCGUGGGGGAUAACGUAGGGAAACUUACGCUAAUACCGCAUACGACCUACGGGUGAAAGCAGGGGAUCUUCGGACCUUGCGCGAUUGAAUGAGCCGAUGUCGGAUUAGCUAGUUGGCGGGGUAAAGGCCCACCAAGGCGACGAUCCGUAGCUGGUCUGAGAGGAUGAUCAGCCACACUGGAACUGAGACACGGUCCAGACUCCUACGGGAGGCAGCAGUGGGGAAUAUUGGACAAUGGGCGCAAGCCUGAUCCAGCCAUACCGCGUGGGUGAAGAAGGCCUUCGGGUUGUAAAGCCCUUUUGUUGGGAAAGAAAAGCAGCAGGUUAAGACCCCGCUGUUCGGACGGGACCCAAAGAAGAAGCACCGGCUAACUUCGU